This is a non-coding RNA of Erinaceus europaeus (western European hedgehog), 63 nucleotides long. NCBI's taxonomy places the organism in Eukaryota, Metazoa, Chordata, Mammalia, Eulipotyphla, Erinaceidae. The record is from Rfam.
UAUUUGCUUAUGAUGGUCACAGCUUAAAGUAUACACAGCUGUGACUUGAUUGGAAAGAAAAUA